GACGGAGGGCGCGAGCGUUGUUCGGAAUUACUGGGCGUAAAGCGCGCGCAGGCGGGCGGGCAAGUCGGACGUGAAAGCCCGGGGCUCAACCCCGGGACGCCGUCCGAGACUGUUCGUCUGGGGACCGGUAGAGGCCGGUGGAAUUGCUGGUGUAGCGGUGGAAUGCGUAGAGAUCAGCAAGAACACCCGUGGCGAAGGCGGCCGGCUGGGCCGGAUCCGACGCUGAGGCGCGAAAGCGUGGGGAGCAAACAGGAUUAGAUACCCCCGUAGUCC
This 273-nucleotide ribosomal RNA is filed under the name uncultured bacterium. RNAcentral describes it as "partial 16S ribosomal RNA". It matches the Rfam family "Bacterial small subunit ribosomal RNA", at positions 524 to 796 of the family's 1533-position model. The record is from RNAcentral.